This 229-nucleotide unclassified non-coding RNA is filed under the name plant metagenome. Its description in RNAcentral is "partial contains small subunit ribosomal RNA, internal transcribed spacer 1, and 5.8S ribosomal RNA". The record is from RNAcentral.
UCUCCGUAGGUGAACCUGCGGAGGGAUCAUUACAGAGUUCAUGCACUACCGGGUAGAUCUCCCACCCUAUGUUAUCAUUACUUUGUUGCUUUGGCGGGCCGUUAGGCUCCGGCACGACUACCGGCCCCGGCUGGUAAGCGCCCGCCAGAGGACCCAAAACCCUGAAUAUUAGUGUCGUCUGAGUACUAUAGAAUAGUUAAAACUUUCAACAACGGAUCUCUUGGUUCUG